AUGGGUAUCUCUGCCCCAUCUUCUUUUCUGUCCUUGUCUACUUUGUGGAAAGAGAAAAAGAAAUAUGAAGCUAUCAAUAUUGCCACAUCUGCUACCUUGUGGGGCUUAUGGCUUCUGCGCAAUGAAGUUGUGUUUCAGGGGCGAAAAUGGCGAAGCAUUCGCUGCAUCAUGGACCUGGUGGGUGGACUGAUGAGACAAUGGAAGAUCUUGUGCUCCAACGCCCAGGGUGCGCUGCUUCUCCGAUGCUUAAGGCUUUUGGAUCGGCGAAGAGGGGAAUUGCUUAGAAUAGCUUGGGAGAUGUGA
Molecule: ribosomal RNA, 303 nt
Filed under: Triticum aestivum (bread wheat)
Lineage: Eukaryota; Viridiplantae; Streptophyta; Magnoliopsida; Poales; Poaceae
Description: partial small subunit ribosomal RNA
Source: RNAcentral